RNAcentral lists this ribosomal RNA (1062 nucleotides) under Triticum aestivum (bread wheat). RNAcentral describes it as "partial small subunit ribosomal RNA". Lineage: Eukaryota; Viridiplantae; Streptophyta; Magnoliopsida; Poales; Poaceae. The record is from RNAcentral.
AUGGCGACCAAGGUGGUGGACCUCCGCUCCGACACGGUGACCAAGCCCUCGGAGGCCAUGCGCGCCGCCAUGGCCGCGGCGGACGUGGAGGACGACAUCCUGGGCUCAGACCCCACCGCGCGCCGCUUCGAGGCGGAGAUGGCCCGGAUCAUGGGCAAGGAGGCCGCGCUGUUCGUGCCGUCCGGCACCAUGGCCAACCUCAUAUCCGUCCUCGUGCACUGCGACACCAGGGGCAGCGAGGCCAUCCUCGGCGACAACUCCCACAUCCACGUCUACGAGCACGGCGGCAUCUCCACCCUCGGCAGCGUCCACCCUAGGAUCGUCGCCAACAACCCCGACGGCACCAUGGACAUCGACAAGAUCGUUGCCGCCAUCAGGAGUCGGGAUGGGUCGUUGUACUAUCCCACCACCAGGCUCAUCUGCUUGGAGAACACACAGGGAAAUUGCGGAGGGAAGUGUCUGUCUGUAGAAUACACUGAUAAGGUUGGUGAAGUUGCCAAAACCCAUGGCCUGAAGCUUCAUAUCGACGGAGCUCGUAUUUUCAACGCUUCCGCAGCGCUUGGGGUUCCUGUUGAUAGACUUGUGAGAGCAGCUGAUUCGGUUUCGGUAGGCCUAGCGAAAGGGAUAGGUGCUCCUGUUGGAUCAGUUAUUGUUGGUUCCAAGGCCUUCAUACACAAGGCUACAAUUCUUAGGAAGACACUAGGUGGUGGAAUAAGGCAGGUAGGAAUACUUUGUGCUGCUGCUGAAGUUGCACGCGACACCGUAGGCAAGCUUGCGGAUGAUCAUAGGAAGGCUAAAGUCUUAGCAGAUGGACUGAAGAAAAUUGAACAGUUUACAGUUGAUUUAGCUUCAGUGGAGACCAAUUUGGUGUUCUUUGAUAUGGCGGAUGCACGAAUAUCACCUGCCAAACUGUGUCAAGUCCUGGAACAACGCAAUGUGCUUGCGACGCCAAUAGGCUCCAAGAGUGUCAGACUUGCGGUACACUACCAAAUUUCAGAUGGUGACGUCCAGUAUACUUUGGCAUGUAUCGAGGAAGCCGUGGAGGAAAUACUGACAGUCUGA